CGCAGGCUUAACAAGCAAAGAACCAUAAUGCCAUUUAUAAAUAACACAUCUUCUGACCCUAAACACUCGUACUUUCUUAGUCUUUUAUGCAUUGAAUCUUUUUGGAGCCCUCGGGAAAAUAAAAUAACUCCAAAUCCCUUUCGUCCUUUCACAUAGUUCAGUUUACAGCACAAGAAUGGCCUCCGAGCAGAUGAAACCUGUUGCCUUGCUGCUUUUAGUCUUAAAUCUUAUCAUGUAUAUCAUCGUUUUAGGCAUUGGCGGUUGGGCUAUGAAUAGAGCCAUUGAUUAUGGCUUCAUCAUCGGACCUGGUUAUGACCUUCCAGCACAUUUCUCACCCAUUUUCUUCCCGAUGGGAAAUGCUGCCACUGGGUUCUUCGUGACAUUCUCUUUGAUUGCCGGAGUUGUUGGUGUUGCCUCGGCAAUUGUUGGUCUUAAUCACAUUCGCUCUUGGCACAGAGAUAGCAUGCCAUCCGCCGCCUCCGCUGCUGCCAUUGCUUGGGCUCUCACUCUUCUAGCCAUGGGCUUUGCCAGCAAAGAAAUUGAGCUAUCUAUCAGGAACGCCCGUCUGAGAACCAUGGAAGCAUUUAUUAUCAUACUUUCUGCUACGCAGCUUCUAUACAUAGCAGCCAUCCAUGGCGCCUCAUCAAGUGGAAGAGCUUGAAAGAAUUCAUAGUCCCAUUAAUUUAUGCAUGCUUGGUGUGUUUUCAAUGUUUUUUUUUUUUUUAAUUUCCCAGCUCUUUGGGGCUGUAAGCAGAUUGAUGUUUUUCCGUGUGAUUUGAUUGGAUUUUUAUGAACAAAUAACGAAGGAAAUGGUGUAUUGAUGAUU
RNA transcript from Populus euphratica (Euphrates poplar), 826 nucleotides. RefSeq lists it as uncharacterized. The record is from RefSeq and is a predicted model, not a curated record. NCBI's taxonomy places the organism in Eukaryota, Viridiplantae, Streptophyta, Magnoliopsida, Malpighiales, Salicaceae. The transcript has 5 exons.